GCGAUCAUACCAGCACUAAUGCACCGGAUCCCAUCAGAACUCCGAAGUUAAGCGUGCUUGGGCGAGAGUAGUACUAGGAUGGGUGACCCUCGGCAAGUCCUCGUGUUGCACCA
This 113-nucleotide ribosomal RNA is filed under the name Salvia splendens (bonfire salvia). Lineage: Eukaryota; Viridiplantae; Streptophyta; Magnoliopsida; Lamiales; Lamiaceae. The record is from RNAcentral.